UACGGGGGGGGCAAGCGUUGUUCGGAAUUACUGGGCGUAAAGGGUGCGUAGGCGGUGCUCUAAGUCGGAUGUGAAAACUCUGGGCUCAACCCAGAGCCUGCAUCCGAAACUGGAGUGCUAGAGUUCUGGAGGGGGUAGCGGAAUUCCUGGUGUAGCGGUGAAAUGCGUAGAUAUCAGGAGGAACACCGGUGGCGAAGGCGGCUACCUGGACAGAAACUGACGCUGAGGCACGAAAGCUAGGGGAGCAAACAGG
RNAcentral lists this ribosomal RNA (253 nucleotides) under uncultured bacterium. RNAcentral's name for it is "partial 16S ribosomal RNA". It matches the Rfam family "Bacterial small subunit ribosomal RNA", at positions 524 to 776 of the family's 1533-position model. RNAcentral also lists the same sequence under 1 other name. The record is from RNAcentral.